RNAcentral lists this ribosomal RNA (162 nucleotides) under Melanosciadium pimpinelloideum. RNAcentral's name for it is "5.8S ribosomal RNA". It matches the Rfam family "5.8S ribosomal RNA". From Rfam's summary of the family: 5.8S ribosomal RNA (5.8S rRNA) is a component of the large subunit of the eukaryotic ribosome. It is transcribed by RNA polymerase I as part of the 45S precursor that also contains 18S and 28S rRNA. Functionally, it is thought that 5.8S rRNA may be involved in ribosome translocation. The record is from RNAcentral. Lineage: Eukaryota; Viridiplantae; Streptophyta; Magnoliopsida; Apiales; Apiaceae. RNAcentral also lists the same sequence under 2 other names.
AACGACUCUCGACAACGGAUAUCUCGGCUCUCGCAUCGAUGAAGAACGUAGCGAAAUGCGAUACUUGGUGUGAAUUGCAGAAUCCCGUGAACCAUCGAGUCUUUGAACGCAAGUUGCGCCCGAAGCCAAUAGGCUGAGGGCACGCCUGCCUGGGUGUCACGC